This 442-nucleotide ribosomal RNA is filed under the name Desmonostoc muscorum Ind34. RNAcentral describes it as "bacterial SSU rRNA". It matches the Rfam family "Bacterial small subunit ribosomal RNA", at positions 37 to 504 of the family's 1533-position model. Lineage: Bacteria; Bacillati; Cyanobacteriota; Cyanophyceae; Nostocales; Nostocaceae. The record is from RNAcentral.
CCGGAUAUGGAACCGGCGUGGCGGUAUGCUUAACACAUGCAAGUCGAACGGUCUCUUCGGAGAUAGUGGCGGACGGCGAUAGUAACGCGUGAGAAUCUAGCUUCAGGUCGGGGACAACCCCUGGAAACGGUGGCUAAUACCGGAUGUGCCGAAAGGUGAAAGAUUUAUUGCCUGAAGAUGAGCUCGCGUCUGAUUAGCUAGUUGGUGUGGUAAGAGCGCACCAAGGCGACGAUCAGUAGCUGGUCUGAGAGGAUGAUCAGCCACACUGGGACUGAGACACGGCCCAGACUCCUACGGGAGGCAGCAGUGGGGAAUUUUCCGCAAUGGGCGAAAGCCUGACGGAGCAAUACCGCGUGAGGGAGGAAGGCUCUUGGGUUGUAAACCUCUUUUCUCAGGGAAUAAAAAAAUGAAGGUACCUGAGGAAUAAGCAUCGGCUAACUCC